Molecule: ribosomal RNA, 255 nt
Filed under: uncultured bacterium
Lineage: Bacteria
Description: partial 16S ribosomal RNA
Rfam family: Bacterial small subunit ribosomal RNA
Source: RNAcentral
UACAGAGGGGGGGCAAGCGUUGUUCGGAAUUACUGGGCGUAAAGGGCGCGUAGGCGGCCUUCUAAGUCGAACGUGAAAUCCCUGGGCUCAACCCAGGAACUGCGUCCGAUACUGGGAGGCUUGAAUCCGGGAGAGGGAUGCGGAAUUCCAGGUGUAGCGGUGAAAUGCGUAGAUAUCUGGAGGAACACCGGUGGCGAAGGCGGCAUCCUGGACCGGCAUUGACGCUGAGGCGCGAAAGCCAGGGGAGCAAACGGG